Molecule: small nucleolar RNA, 138 nt
Filed under: Ornithorhynchus anatinus (platypus)
Lineage: Eukaryota; Metazoa; Chordata; Mammalia; Monotremata; Ornithorhynchidae
Source: RNAcentral
CCCUUCUCAGGGUCACACCUGGGGAGCUUCCAGUACUCUACCAGUCUCGACUAGGGGAAGGAGAGUCAAGCAGAGGCAUAUCCAUUCCAUUCCUAACUUGGGCAGUGUCUAGAGAGUGGAAGGCAAUCUGCUACAAGU